UACGUAGGGUGCAAGCGUUAAUCGGAAUUACUGGGCGUAAAGCGUGCGCAGGCGGUUAUAUAAGACAGAUGUGAAAUCCCCGAGCUCAACCUGGGAACUGCAUUUGUGACUGUAUAGCUAGAGUACGGCAGAGGGGGAUGGAAUUCCGCGUGUAGCAGUGAAAUGCGUAGAUAUGCGGAGGAACACCAAUGGCGAAGGCAAUCCCCUGGGCCUGUACUGACGCUCAUGCACGAAAGCGUGGGGAGCAAACAGG
Molecule: ribosomal RNA, 253 nt
Filed under: uncultured bacterium
Lineage: Bacteria
Description: partial 16S ribosomal RNA
Rfam family: Bacterial small subunit ribosomal RNA
Source: RNAcentral